CUACAAUCAAUAAGCGGAGGAAAAGAAACUAACAAGGAUUCCCCUAGUAACUGCGAGUGAAGCGGGAAAAGCUCAAAUUUAAAAUCCGGCGGUCCUUGGCCGUCCGAGUUGUAAUCUAGAGAAGCGUUACCCGCGCUGGACCGUGUACAAGUCUCCUGGAAUGGAGCGUCAUAGAGGGUGAGAAUCCCGUCUCUGACACGGACUACCAGGGCUUUGUGGUAUGCUCUCAAAGAGUCGAGUUGUUUGGGAAUGCAGCUCAAAAUGGGUGGUAAAUUCCAUCUAAAGCUAAAUAUUGGCGAGAGACCGAUAGCGAACAAGUACCGUGAGGGAAAGAUGAAAAGAACUUUGGAAAGAGAGUUAAACAGUACGUGAAAUUGCUGAAAGGGAAACGCUUGAAGUCAGUCGCGUUGGCCGGGGAUCAGCCUCGCAUUUGCGUGGUGUACUUUCCGGUUGACGGGUCAGCAUCAAUUUUGACCGCUGGAAAAAGGCUUAGGGAAUGUGGCAGCUUCGGCUGUGUUAUAGCCCUUUGUCACAUACAGCGGUUGGGAUUGAGGAACUCAGCACGCCGCAAGGCCGGGUUUCGACCACGUUCGUGCUUAGGAUGCUGGCAUAAUGGCUUUAAGCGACCCGUCUUGAAACACGGACCAAGGAGUCUAACAUGCCUGCGAGUGUUUGGGUGGAAAACCCGAGCGCGCAAUGAAAGUGAAAGUUGAGAUCCCUGUCGUGGGGAGCAUCGACGCCCGGACCAGAACUUUUGGGACGGAUCCGCGGUAGAGCAUGUAUGUUGGGACCCGAAAGAUGGUGAACUAUGCCUGAAUAGGGUGAAGCCAGAGGAAACUCUGGUGGAGGCUCGUAGCGAUUCUGACGUGCAAAUCGAUCGUCAAAUUUGGGUAUAGGGGCGAAAGACUAAUUCGA
Molecule: ribosomal RNA, 915 nt
Filed under: Lepiota elaiophylla
Lineage: Eukaryota; Fungi; Basidiomycota; Agaricomycetes; Agaricales; Agaricaceae
Description: partial large subunit ribosomal RNA
Rfam family: Eukaryotic large subunit ribosomal RNA
Source: RNAcentral